GAUCCAUCAAACACAAAUGAUUCGUUUGGUUCUAGUUUCUUCUUUCAUUUUGAUCUUGGGUGUCUUCGAAGCCAAAGGUGAACCGAAUGACCUUUCACUCAAGAAUGACGAGACAAGUACUCCAUCUCGAUCACUUGAAGAGAAAUGGGCAGAGGCAGCUUCUUAUGUGAGAGUCGUAGAAGAGAAAG
Macrosteles quadrilineatus (aster leafhopper) is the source of this 188-nucleotide long non-coding RNA. RefSeq lists it as uncharacterized. NCBI's taxonomy places the organism in Eukaryota, Metazoa, Arthropoda, Insecta, Hemiptera, Cicadellidae. The record is from RefSeq and is a predicted model, not a curated record. The transcript is spliced from 3 exons.